Molecule: ribosomal RNA, 114 nt
Filed under: Hahella chejuensis
Lineage: Bacteria; Pseudomonadati; Pseudomonadota; Gammaproteobacteria; Oceanospirillales; Hahellaceae
Also listed under: 4 other names
Source: RNAcentral
CCUGAUGAUCAUAGCGGACUGGAACCACCUGAUCCCAUUCCGAACUCAGAAGUGAAACAGUCCAGCGCCGAUGGUAGUGUGGAUUACCCAUGCAAGAGUAGGUCGUCGUCAGGC